GUGCUCACUUUGACGGUGCAUAUAAUAAAAAUUUUGAGUGAGACAGAGAUGAUCUACAUGGUCCCUGAAUAAAGAUGAUAUAGGAAUCUAUAAAGUGGUUUUGAUUUUC
Erinaceus europaeus (western European hedgehog) is the source of this 109-nucleotide small nuclear RNA. The record is from Ensembl. NCBI's taxonomy places the organism in Eukaryota, Metazoa, Chordata, Mammalia, Eulipotyphla, Erinaceidae.